GCUAAAUAAGCUAUCGGGCCCAUACCCCGAAAAUGUUGGAUUGCACC
RNAcentral lists this transfer RNA (47 nucleotides) under Equus sp. RNAcentral's name for it is "partial tRNA-Met". Lineage: Eukaryota; Metazoa; Chordata; Mammalia; Perissodactyla; Equidae. The record is from RNAcentral.